This 29-nucleotide non-coding RNA is filed under the name Mus musculus (house mouse). The record is from RNAcentral. Lineage: Eukaryota; Metazoa; Chordata; Mammalia; Rodentia; Muridae.
UNGGAAUAUGAGGGCAGAGUUGGUAGUGG